Candida albicans SC5314 is the source of this 101-nucleotide small nucleolar RNA. The record is from RefSeq and is a predicted model, not a curated record. Lineage: Eukaryota; Fungi; Ascomycota; Pichiomycetes; Serinales; Debaryomycetaceae.
CCAGCUUUAAAACCAUCGCUAUUGGAGGUCGCCGCUAAUUAUUUCUUUAAUUAGGUCAGGCUGAUCCAUGAAAUGGUGAUGACCUGAUGUCUGGUACAUUU